Molecule: unclassified non-coding RNA, 253 nt
Filed under: uncultured Caryophanales bacterium
Lineage: Bacteria; Bacillati; Bacillota; Bacilli; Caryophanales
Description: uncultured Bacillales bacterium contains 16S-23S intergenic spacer region
Rfam family: Bacterial small subunit ribosomal RNA
Source: RNAcentral
UACGUAGGGGGCAAACGUUGUCCGGAAUCAUUGGGCGUAAAGCGCGCGCAGGCGGUCCUUUAAGUCUGGUGUGAAAUCUUGCGGCUUAACCGCAAGCUUGCAUUGGAAACUGCGGGACUUGAGUACAGAAGAGGAGAGCGGAAUUCCACGUGUAGCGGUGAAAUGCGUAGAUAUGUGGAGGAACGCCAGUGGCGAAGGCGGUUCUCUGGUCUGUAACUGACGCUGAGGCGCGAAAGCGUGGGGAGCAAACAGG